Molecule: long non-coding RNA, 909 nt
Organism: Micropterus dolomieu (smallmouth bass)
Lineage: Eukaryota; Metazoa; Chordata; Actinopteri; Centrarchiformes; Centrarchidae
Exons: 3
Source: RefSeq, a predicted model, not a curated record
UGGGUCUUAAAAAAAGAGAUCUUUAAAUUUAGAGCAGCUUGCUGGAAAAUCAGUGGUUACAAAUAUAAUUUUACAAACAUGUAUUUAUUUGUAAGAACACUGCCUGUACUACUUGAGACAACACAUCUUACAUCAGUAGCCACAACUCCAUCCAGAGCUCACUGACAUGAGGGAACAGGCUACUGAAAAUAAAUUUAAAAAAGAACAAUGAUGUGAAGUAGAGGCUGUCAGACAUGGAACAUCUUAUUGCCUCAUCUGAAUAUGCCGAUUAUUCUCAUUAUAUCAUUGUAUUCAUGUGUGUAUGCGGCGCAGAGUCGUGUGUGAUGUCUGGAUGUCCCUGCAGGAUGUCUCAUCUUGGAGGCCAGUCACUUUCUGGAAAACUACAGCGGGUCAGUUGGAACUUGUUUAGUUGAAUUGUGCCUUGGGGAACACAAUCUUGGAAAACUCCCAUAUCCUUCAAUUGGGACUUCAUAUGUUUCUCCCGACAUGGAACAGGGGCUACAGGCUAGUUAUUGUAAUGACAAGCAAUAUAUGGAACGGCUUCUCUAUGUUGUUUGUGUCAUGUCUGUGAUUUCUCGUGCAAUGUACUCUCACUGUAUGUGGAUGAACAGUUAAAUAUAAAUAAACAAAUGUCCUCAUUUUUUAAUUAAUUAGUGAGCAAACCCUUGGAACUGACAUUUCUAACUUUUAUAGCGCAUCCAAGUGAGCCUGUAUUGUUUUUCAAGCUCUUUCCUUGAAAAGGGUAUAGCUAUGAACUAGAUGGUAUUUGCAUGUCUCUGUAACAUCAUUUUAACUGCUUAAAUGUAAAAGGCUGUUACUUAUUCCAUCACCAGCCUCUAUGUACUCGACUGUCAGCUUCUCUUUUGAUGGUACACAUGACAACUAAAUCAGCAUAUAAAUAAAAUGUAU